CGGGUGAGUAACACGUGGGUUACCUGCCCCGAUGAUUGGGACAACCCGAGGAAACUCGGGCUAAUACCAAAUGUGCUCCUGGCCGUAAUGGCCAUGAGGAAAGGAAGCUUCGGCCUCCGCAUCGGGAUGGGCCCGCGGCCCAUUAGCUAGUUGGUGGGGUAACGGCCUACCAAGGCGACGAUGGGUAGCUGGUCUGAGAGGACGAUCAGCCACACUGGGACUGAGACACGGCCCAG
RNAcentral lists this ribosomal RNA (236 nucleotides) under uncultured bacterium. RNAcentral's name for it is "partial 16S ribosomal RNA". It matches the Rfam family "Bacterial small subunit ribosomal RNA", at positions 103 to 334 of the family's 1533-position model. The record is from RNAcentral.